GGGGCUGUGGCUCAGAGGCAGAGCGCUCACCUAGCAAGUGUGAGGCCCUGGGUGCAAUCCUCAGCACCACA
RNAcentral lists this transfer RNA (71 nucleotides) under Marmota monax (woodchuck). RNAcentral describes it as "tRNA.Ala". It matches the Rfam family "tRNA". Rfam says of the family: Transfer RNA (tRNA) molecules are approximately 80 nucleotides in length. Lineage: Eukaryota; Metazoa; Chordata; Mammalia; Rodentia; Sciuridae. The record is from RNAcentral.